RNAcentral lists this ribosomal RNA (460 nucleotides) under uncultured Candidatus Competibacter sp. RNAcentral's name for it is "bacterial SSU rRNA". It matches the Rfam family "Bacterial small subunit ribosomal RNA", at positions 472 to 932 of the family's 1533-position model. The record is from RNAcentral. Lineage: Bacteria; Pseudomonadati; Pseudomonadota; Gammaproteobacteria; Candidatus Competibacteraceae.
ACGUUACCCGCGGAAUAAGCACCGGCUAACUCCGUGCCAGCAGCCGCGGUAAUACGGAGGGUGCGAGCGUUAAUCGGAAUUACUGGGCGUAAAGCGUGCGUAGGCGGAUGGGUCAGUCAGCCGUGAAAGCCCCGGGCUUAACCUGGGAACGGCGGUUGAGACGGCCCGUCUUGAGUGGGCUAGAGGAUCGUGGAACUCCCGGUGUAGCGGUGAAAUGCGUAGAGAUCGGGAAGAACACCGAUGGCGAAGGCAGCGAUCUGGGGCCACACUGACGCUGAGGCACGACGGCGUGGGGAGCAAACAGGAUUAGAUACCCUGGUAGUCCACGCGGUAAACGAUGAGCACUAGACGUUGGGCGGGUGACCGUCCGGUGUCGUAGCUAACGCGCUAAGUGCUCCGCCUGGGGAGUACGGCCGCAAGGUUGAAAAAAAAAGGAAUUGACGGGGGCCCGCACAAGCGG